RNAcentral lists this ribosomal RNA (460 nucleotides) under uncultured bacterium. RNAcentral's name for it is "partial 16S ribosomal RNA". It matches the Rfam family "Bacterial small subunit ribosomal RNA", at positions 338 to 795 of the family's 1533-position model. The record is from RNAcentral.
CCUACGGGAGGCUGCAGUGAGGAAUAUUGGUCAAUGGACGAGAGUCUGAACCAGCCAAGUAGCGUGAAGGAUGACUGCCCUAUGGGUUGUAAACUUCUUUUAUAAAGGAAUAAAACGAGGCACGUGUGCCUUUUUGCAUGUACUUUAUGAAUAAAGAUAGGCUAAAUCCGUGCCAGCAGCCGCGGUAAUACGGAGGAUCCGAGCGUUAUCCGGAUUUGUUGGGUUUAAAGGGAGCCCAGAUGGGUGGUUAAGUCAGUUGGGAAAGGUUGCGGCUCAACCGUCAAAUUGCAAUUGAUACUGGCAGUCUUGAGUACAGUUGAGGUAGGCGGAAUGCGUGGUGUAGCGGUGCAAUGCUUAGAUAUCACGAAGAACCCAGAUUGAGAAGGCAGCUUACUAAACUGUGACUGACAUUGAUGCGCGAAAGUGUGGGUAUCAAACAGGAUUAGAUACCCCUGUAGUC